UGUGGGUCCUAAGCGUAGUAAUUUCUCCUCGCUAUAGAGCCCGCUCGGGGAUAGGUAUAAUUCGUAGCCUAGUUCUAUGUGUCCCGCUAUAAAACCCCCAAUUUUUUAAGGUUGACCUCGGAUCAAGUAGGGAUACCCGCUGAACUUAAGCAUAUCAAUAAGCGGAGGAAAAGAAACCAACAGGGAUUACCUUAGUAACGGCGAGUGAAGCGGUAAAUGCUCAAAUUUGAAAGCUGCCAACAGGCCGCGUUGUAAUUUGUAGAAGAUGCUUUGGGUGUCGGCCCAGUCUAAGUUCCUUGGAACAGGACGUCAUAGAGGGUGAGAAUCCCGUAUGUGAUUGGUGCCGUCCCCCGUGUAAAGCUCUUUCGACGAGUCGAGUUGUUUGGGAAUGCAGCUCAAAAUGGGUGGUAAAUUUCAUCUAAAGCUAAAUAUUGGCCAGAGACCGAUAGCGCACAAGUAGAGUGAUCGAAAGAUGAAAAGCACUUUGGAAAGAGAGUUAAACAGUACGUGAAAUUGUUGAAAGGGAAGCGCUUGCAAUCAGACUUGCAGGCGGUCGAUCAUCCGAGGUUCUCCCCGGUGCACUCGAUCGUCUUCAGGCCAGCAUCGGUUUCCGUGGUGGGAUAAAGGCUGUGAGAACGUGGCUCUUCGGAGUGUUAUAGCUCACGGUGCAAUGCCGCCUACGGGGACCGAGGACCGCGC
Molecule: small RNA, 699 nt
Filed under: Helotiales sp. 1 MK-2015
Lineage: Eukaryota; Fungi; Ascomycota; Leotiomycetes; Helotiales
Description: eukaryotic LSU rRNA
Rfam family: Eukaryotic large subunit ribosomal RNA (bases 113-699)
Source: RNAcentral